Small nuclear RNA from Equus asinus (donkey), 63 nucleotides. Its record names the gene U7. It matches the Rfam family "U7 small nuclear RNA". Rfam says of the family: Animal histone pre-mRNAs are spliced by a different mechanism than nuclear pre-mRNAs and self-splicing introns. The record is from Ensembl. NCBI's taxonomy places the organism in Eukaryota, Metazoa, Chordata, Mammalia, Perissodactyla, Equidae.
GAGCAUUACAGCUCUUUUAGAAUUUGUCUAGCAGGUUUUCGGGUCCUCACCAGAAGAGCCCGC